GGGUACAAUUAAAAUUGUCACAUGUUAUUUAUUAUUAAUUAAGUUCACAUCAGCACAACUACUCGCCACAAACUCAGCAUUAAAUCUUAUCAAUCAGAAUGCCAGAAUGGGAACAAAUCCAACGACGCUAAAUACGGGUUUGGCGAAUGGUCCGACAAAUUUGAAUCAACUGGGAAGAAAUAUGGUCGGCAAUGCUAUGACUUCCAUUGGAAACAUCAAUUUGAUGAACGGAAAUUUAGCUAAUUCCAAUUUAGCUAAUCUUAAUAUGGCUAAAACAAAUGUAGCUGAAAUGGGUGUUAUGGCUAA
Molecule: long non-coding RNA, 306 nt
Organism: Manduca sexta (tobacco hornworm)
Lineage: Eukaryota; Metazoa; Arthropoda; Insecta; Lepidoptera; Sphingidae
Exons: 2
Source: RefSeq, a predicted model, not a curated record